GUCCAGACUCCUACGGGAGGCAGCAGUAGGGAAUUUUGCGCAAUGGGGGAAACCCUGACGCAGCAACGCCGCGUGAUUGAUGAAGCCCUUCGGGGUGUAAAGAUCUGUCAGUGGGGACGAAACUUGACGGUACCUGACUAAGAAGCCCCGGCUAACUACGUGCCAGCAGCCGCGGUAAUACGUAGGGGGCAAGCGUUAUCCGGAUUUACUGGGUGUAAAGGGAGCGUAGACGGCGGUGCAAGCCAGAUGUGAAAGCCCGGGGCUCAACCCCGGGACUGCAUUUGGAACUGUGCUGCUAGAGUGUCGGAGAGGCAGGCGGAAUUCCUAGUGUAGCGGUGAAAUGCGUAGAUAUUAGGAGGAACACCAGUGGCGAAGGCGGCCUGCUGGACGAUGACUGACGUUGAGGCUCGAAAGCGUGGGGAGCAAACAGGAUUAGAUACCCGUGUA
Molecule: ribosomal RNA, 447 nt
Filed under: uncultured bacterium
Lineage: Bacteria
Description: partial 16S ribosomal RNA
Rfam family: Bacterial small subunit ribosomal RNA
Source: RNAcentral